GACGAACGCUGGCGGCGUGCCUAAUACAUGCAAGUAGAACGCAGUUGCGAACGGGUGAGUAACGCGUAGGUAACUGCCUCAUAGCGGGGGAUAACUAUUGGAAACGAUAGCUAAUACCGCAUACUGUGAGAUGGACUUGCGUUGGAUUCGCCAGUUGGUGAGGUAAAGGCUCACCAAGGCGACGAUACAUAGCCGACCUGAGAGGGGGAUCGGCCAAAAUGGGGCUGGGGAACGGCCCAGGCACCUACGGGAAGCAGCAGUAGGGAAACUUCGGCAAUGGGAGGAAGUCUGACCGGGCAACGGCGCGGUAGGGGAGAAGGUUUUCGGAUCGGAAAGCUCUGUUGUUUGGGGAGCGGUAACUAACCAGAAAGGGACGGCUAACUACGUGCCAGCAGCCGCGGUAAUAC
RNAcentral lists this ribosomal RNA (407 nucleotides) under uncultured bacterium. RNAcentral describes it as "partial 16S ribosomal RNA". It matches the Rfam family "Bacterial small subunit ribosomal RNA", at positions 28 to 526 of the family's 1533-position model. The record is from RNAcentral.